AAUAUUGGACAAUGGGCGAAAGCCUGAUCCAGCAAUGCCGCGUGAGCGAUGAAGGNCUNNGGGUUNUNAAGCUCUUUUACCCGNNNNNAUAAUGACAGUACCGGGAGAAUAAGCCCCGGCUAACCUCGUGCCAGCAGCCGCGGUAAUACGGAGGGGGCUAGCGUUUGUCGGAAUUACUGGGCGUAAAGCGCACGUAGGCGGCCAUUUAAGUCAGAGGUGAAAGCCUGGAGCUCAACUCCAGAACUGCCUUUGAGACUGGAUGGCUAGAAUCUGGGAGAGGCGAGUGGAAUUCCGAGUGUAGAGGUGAAAUUCGUAGAUAUUCGGAAGAACACCAGUGGCGAAGGCGGCUCGCUGGACAAGUAUUGACGCUGAGGUGCGAAAGCGUGGGGAGCAAACAGG
RNAcentral lists this ribosomal RNA (399 nucleotides) under uncultured bacterium. Its description in RNAcentral is "partial 16S ribosomal RNA". It matches the Rfam family "Bacterial small subunit ribosomal RNA", at positions 360 to 776 of the family's 1533-position model. The record is from RNAcentral.